UCUAAAAUGGCAGAAAGAGUGCAUAGAGUUUAAGCCCCUACCAGGAAGAAUUUUUUUACUUCUUUUAGAA
This 70-nucleotide transfer RNA is filed under the name Stereomastis sculpta. RNAcentral describes it as "tRNA-Leu". The record is from RNAcentral. Lineage: Eukaryota; Metazoa; Arthropoda; Malacostraca; Decapoda; Crangonidae.